GUGCCAGCCGCCGCGGUAAUACGUAGGUGGCAAGCGUUAUCCGGAAUUAUUGGGCGUAAAGCGCGCGUAGGCGGUUUUUACAGUCUGAUGUGAAAGCCCACGGCUCAACCGUGGAGGGUCAUUGGAAACUGGAAAACUUGAGUGCAGAAGAGGAAAGUGGAAUUCCAUGUGUAGCGGUGAAAUGCGCAGAGAUAUGGAGGAACACCAGUGGCGAAGGCGACUUUCUGGUCUGUAACUGACGCUGAUGUGCGAAAGCGUGGGGAUCA
RNAcentral lists this ribosomal RNA (266 nucleotides) under uncultured Staphylococcus sp. RNAcentral describes it as "partial 16S ribosomal RNA". It matches the Rfam family "Bacterial small subunit ribosomal RNA", at positions 505 to 770 of the family's 1533-position model. Lineage: Bacteria; Bacillati; Bacillota; Bacilli; Caryophanales; Staphylococcaceae. The record is from RNAcentral.